RNAcentral lists this ribosomal RNA (244 nucleotides) under uncultured bacterium. Its description in RNAcentral is "partial 16S ribosomal RNA". It matches the Rfam family "Bacterial small subunit ribosomal RNA", at positions 116 to 354 of the family's 1533-position model. The record is from RNAcentral.
CGUGGGUAACCUGCCCAAGAGACUGGGAUAACACCUGGAAACAGAUGCUAAUACCGGAUAACAACACUAGACGCAUGUCUAGAGUUUAAAAGAUGGUUCUGCUAUCACUCUUGGAUGGACCUGCGGUGCAUUAGCUAGUUGGUAAGGUAACGGCUUACCAAGACAAUGAUGCAUAGCCGAGUUGAGAGACUGAUCGGCCACAUUGGGACUGAGACACGGCCCAAACUCCUACGGAAGGCAGCAG